RNAcentral lists this ribosomal RNA (267 nucleotides) under uncultured archaeon. Its description in RNAcentral is "partial 16S ribosomal RNA". It matches the Rfam family "Archaeal small subunit ribosomal RNA", at positions 748 to 1010 of the family's 1478-position model. The record is from RNAcentral.
AGGGUGUAAACGACUGCAGACUUGGUGUUGGAGGCCCUUUGGGGGGCGAUUCAGUGCCGGAGAGAAGUUGGUAAGUCUGCUACUUGGGGAGUACGUCCGCAAGGAUGAAACUUAAAGGAAUUGGCGGGGGGAGCACCGCAACGGGAGGAGCGUGCGGUUUAAUUGGAUUCAACACCGUAAAACUCACCAGGGAAGACUGUUACAUGAAGGCCGAGAUGAAGACUCUGCUAGAUUUUCAGAGAGGAGGUGCAUGGCGUCAGUGACUGU